AGCAUCGGGAAACUAGUUAUGUAUUUAAGACUGAAAGCGGGAGAAAUCUGCCGUAGGCAUCUUCCCCUUUUCUCUCUUUGUUUCGUCUGCUGAAUAGAGGCAGUGCCUCCUCUCCACUCUUGCUUAAUUGAGUAAACUCCGUGAUCCUAAAUGCAAACAAACAUGGAGCCAGCACAAACAAGCACGUGCUUCCUGCAUGCGCCACUUCUGAGGAGCAGCCUGAGCAACAGGUAAAGCGGCUGGGAGACAGAAACGCUGCAGAAGGCGCCUCCAGGAUUUGGCCUGAGAGCCCUGCAAGCUUUGAGACACCACUGCAAACUGGAGCUGACACCUCUUCUGUUCACCUUGGAGAGGUGCAGAGUGAAGAGCAGACCAUGACACACUUAAUAGAUUGCUGGGCAUUUACGGAGCUGCUUGUUACCCAGCUCAUGAGCCGUGUCCAACUGCUACAGCGUUCAUCAAAGAUGGGAAGCCACAAGGAGCAAAUUGACAGAGAAGAUAUGAGUCAGUGAUGGUGCAGGUGAUCUGUGCAGUGCUGUGCAGGGGAUGUGUCAAAGCUGUGAUGCUGGCAUGCAACAAACUCACCAUUAAAGGGACUAGCUUGAUGAAGCUUCUGCUUUUGUGACUAUCUCCUAAUGGAUCUGAGGGUGUCUUCAAGUUCCCAGGCUUGCUCGGCACAUUGCAAAUAGCCAUGAUUUGAGAUGAUUUUCUUUAAUGCUGAAGCAGACGAAGAACCCAGGUUCUUUUUAAUGGCAAGGCUUGUUUAUCAGCAGCUAUACAGGUAAACAGCACAGAUGCUGGGAGAGGGACGGCAUCCAGACUCAGAAGAAGGCCAACAUUUGACCAUGACCAUCACGCUCACAUGACAAAAGAUGUCACCACAGUGAACAGUUCUGACCACAGUGGCUUUUCACCUGCUUCGUUAAAUGUAACUCACACCGGCCCAGAGGACAAUUUCAUUAACCCUGUAUUUCAGCAGAAACCGGAGCACCUCAGAAGAUCAAGGCUUCCCAGUUCUCCUGGGGGAACAGACGUCAGCCACUUGGCACAAAGGAAACUUCCUUCUCUGUGUCAGAGGAAGACAUAAUUGUGCCAUUUCCUUCUUGAAGAAGUUUACAAACAUUUGCAAGUUGUCAAAAAUAAUUAGUCUAAAAUUGUUUCAUAAACCAUGGAAUGAAACAGUACGUGCCUUGUUGAGAUCAAAGGGCUUCUGUUACCUUCUUGUAAACCCAAAUGAAAUUCUUUUGAAAGUAAA
Molecule: long non-coding RNA, 1255 nt
Organism: Piliocolobus tephrosceles (Ugandan red Colobus)
Lineage: Eukaryota; Metazoa; Chordata; Mammalia; Primates; Cercopithecidae
Exons: 5
Source: RefSeq, a predicted model, not a curated record